This 540-nucleotide ribosomal RNA is filed under the name Vibrio sp. RNAcentral's name for it is "bacterial SSU rRNA". It matches the Rfam family "Bacterial small subunit ribosomal RNA", at positions 63 to 591 of the family's 1533-position model. Lineage: Bacteria; Pseudomonadati; Pseudomonadota; Gammaproteobacteria; Vibrionales; Vibrionaceae. The record is from RNAcentral.
CGAACGGUAACAGGAAGAAGCUUGCUUUCUUUGCUGACGAGCGGCGGACGGGUGAGUAAUGCCUGGGAAAUUGCCCUGAUGUGGGGGAUAACCAUUGGAAACGAUGGCUAAUACCGCAUGAUGCCUACGGGCCAAAGAGGGGGACCUUCGGGCUUCUCGCGUCAGCCCAUGCCCAGGUGGGAUUAGCUAGUUGCUGAGGUAAUGGCCCACCAAGGCGACGAUCCCUAGCUGGUCUGAGAGGAUGAUCAGCCACACUGGAACUGAGACACGGUCCAGACUCCUACGGGAGGCAGCAGUGGGGAAUAUUGCACAAUGGGCGCAAGCCUGAUGCAGCCAUGCCGCGUGUAUGAAGAAGGCCUGCGGGUUGUAAAGUACUUUCAGUUGUGAGGAAGGGGGUAUCGUUAAUAGCGGUAUUCUGUGACGUUAGCGACAGUAGAAGCACCGGCUAACUCCGUGCCAGCAGCCGCGGUAAUACGGAGGGUGCGAGCGUUAAUCGGAAUUACUGGGCGUAAAGCGCAUGCAGGCGGUCUGUCAAGUCAG